GGGGGKUGGUAAGCGUUGUUCGGAAUUACUGGGCGUAAAGGGCUCGUWKGCGGCCAACUAAGUCGGACGUGAAAUCCCUCAGCUUAACUGGGGAACUGCGUCCGAUACUGGAUGGCUUGGAUUUGGGAGAGGGAUGCGGAAUUCCAGGUGUAGCGGUGAAAUGCGUAGAUAUCUGGAGGAACACCGGUGGCGAAGGCGGCAUCCUGGACCAAUAUUGACGCUGAGGAGCGAAAGCCAGGGGAGCAAACGGGAUUAGAUACCCCGGUAGUCCUGGCCCUAAACGAUGAAUGCUUGGUGUGGCGGGUAUCGAUCCCUGCCGUGCCGAAGCUAACGCGUUAAGCAUUCCGCCUGGGGAGUACGGUCGCAAGGCUG
RNAcentral lists this ribosomal RNA (372 nucleotides) under uncultured bacterium. RNAcentral's name for it is "bacterial SSU rRNA". It matches the Rfam family "Bacterial small subunit ribosomal RNA", at positions 526 to 896 of the family's 1533-position model. The record is from RNAcentral.